Molecule: ribosomal RNA, 462 nt
Filed under: uncultured bacterium
Lineage: Bacteria
Description: partial 16S ribosomal RNA
Rfam family: Bacterial small subunit ribosomal RNA
Source: RNAcentral
GAUGAACGCUGACAGAAUGCUUAACACAUGCAAGUCUUUGGCGAAGCUGUGCUUGCACAGCCUAGCCAAGGCGGACGGGUGAGUAACGCGUAAGGAACUUGCCCUGCAGUCAGGGAUAACAGACGGAAACGACUGAUAAGACCUGGUAAAGUCAGGCGGACUCAUGUCCAGCCUGAUGAAAAGAGAUGCUGCAGGAGAGCCUUGCGCCCUAUUAGCUUGUUGGUGGGGUAACGGCCCACCAAGGCGAUGAUAGGUAGCCGGCCUGAGAGGGUGGACGGCCACAAGGGGACUGAGAUACGGCCCUUACUCCUACGGGAGGCAGCAGUGGGGAAUAUUGGACAAUGGGGGCAACCCUGAUCCAGCAAUUCUGUGUGCACGAUGAAGGUUUUCGGAUUGUAAAGUGCUUUCAGCAGGGAAGAAAAAAAUGACGGUACCUGCAGAAGAAGCGACGGCUAAAUACGU